GUUAUUUUAUUAAACCACAUUGCUUAUAAAUUAUUAAUUUAUAAUUAAUUAUAAAUUAAAGUUUUCAGAGAGAAGAGAGCAGAGCCCAGUGAUGUGUCUGUGAAGAACUAUGGAGGAGGAAGCUCUGAAUCACGGAUGGAAACCCAGAGAUCUGUGUCUCCAGUGACCAGCUGUGCGUCUAUGAAGAGUGAAGACUGGUUCUCUAACUUGGCUUCACAACAACAGGAUGCCAGUUUUGGAAAAAUAUGUAAUUCAGGACUGCAGAAAUCCAGAGGAGAACCACCAGAACCCAGCUGUGUCUAUGAAGAGUGAUGACUCUAUGAGAACGCCUCCUACCUUCAGUGAUGGAGCAGAACCUCCAGAACCCAGCUGUGUGUCUAUGAAGAGUGACAACUCAAUGAGAACACCUCCUACCUUCAGUAAUGGAGCAGAACCUCCAGAACCCAGCUGUGUGUCUAUGAAGAGUGACAACUCAAUGAGAACGCCUCCUACCUUCAGUAAUGGAGCAGAACCUCCAGAACCCAGCU
Molecule: long non-coding RNA, 527 nt
Filed under: Astyanax mexicanus (Mexican tetra)
Lineage: Eukaryota; Metazoa; Chordata; Actinopteri; Characiformes; Acestrorhamphidae
Description: lncRNA (ENSAMXG00005011380.1)
Source: RNAcentral